UACGGGGGGGUAAGCGUUGUUCGGAAUUACUGGGCGUAAAGGGCUCGUAGGCGGCCAACUAAGUCGGACGUGAAAUCCCUCAGCUUAACUGGGGAACUGCGUCCGAUACUGGAUGGCUUGGAUUUGGGAGAGGGAUGCGGAAUUCCAGGUGUAGCGGUGAAAUGCGUAGAUAUCUGGAGGAACACCGGUGGCGAAGGCGGCAUCCUGGACCAAUAUUGACGCUGAGGAGCGAAAGCCAGGGGAGCAAACGGG
RNAcentral lists this ribosomal RNA (252 nucleotides) under Acidobacterium sp. RNAcentral's name for it is "partial 16S ribosomal RNA". It matches the Rfam family "Bacterial small subunit ribosomal RNA", at positions 524 to 776 of the family's 1533-position model. Lineage: Bacteria; Pseudomonadati; Acidobacteriota; Terriglobia; Terriglobales; Acidobacteriaceae. RNAcentral also lists the same sequence under 1 other name. The record is from RNAcentral.